This 28-nucleotide non-coding RNA is filed under the name Mus musculus (house mouse). Lineage: Eukaryota; Metazoa; Chordata; Mammalia; Rodentia; Muridae. The record is from RNAcentral.
UGGAAAGUUGAGGUGUAAACUGUGUUGC